GCAGCGGCAGAACGCCGCGCUGUCCGCGCUCCGCCCGGGGCUGCCGGCCCCCGGGAUGGGAUUGAGCCGGGCGGGCCCGGCACGGAGCUGCGGGGUCCAGCCCGGGAAGGUGAGCUGCGGACCGGGCGGCCCUGAGGACGCUUAGCCCCGGGGGCUCUUCGCUGAGGCCGGAGUAGAGUUAAAGCUCAAAGGACGGAGCAGUUUGUUGGGCGGAGACCCUCGGGACAACUCUCCAACUCCCCCGAACUUUCCCUGGAUUUUUUGUUGUUGUUUGUUGGGGUUGUGGGUUUUUGUUUGAUUUUUGGUUUUGUUUGCUUAAAAAAUAUUGAUACACAUGAGGUGGUUAUUAUUCCGUGCUGAGACCUGCACCUAAAAGCGUGGUUGAUGUAAAGAGGUCACCUGGCCUGUGUGAAGCCGUGCUGCAUGGAGCGAAUUUCACUGGGAUGAGCGUGACUCUUUCAGGGUGGAGCCCUUUCGAGGGAAUGAAUGACACUUCAGCUUUAAAAAUGUGUUCUGGCUGUACCCAGACUAGACUCUUGGGUUUGCUCAUUCAGUGAAAUGCUCUUCAUUUACUGUUAUAUAUACAUAAGUCCCUUAGGGCAGCAUUGUUUUGGAAGGUUUUUUUUUAACCAUAUGCUCAUCCUUAGGCAGCAGAACUUUGUAAGCUGCAGAACAUUCACAAUUUCAAGGGAAGUUUGUAUGAUGAAAGAAUGCUUAGUACCACCAGAAAAAAUAUGAACGAAGGCAUUUCCUUGGCAAAUCAUUAUCAUGAUUGUGAAUAUGCCUGCUUUCCAAUAUUAUUAUAUUAAAGCAGUAUAUUCAGGAAACUAAUGAUAGUCAAACAGUGAGACUGCCUGCUGCUUUCUGUUUGUGGGUUGUUUAAAGUGGCUCAAAACAAGAAAGUCUAAAAACCCAUCCCAUUUAUUUCAUUUUAAAAAGGUUUAAAUAUGUGCUUUGCACUAAUACUUGGAAAUUAACAGCAUUUAACAUUGAGAGCGACCUUAUAAUUGGAGUUGGAGGCUAGAGGGUGGGAGACACAUCCCCUUUCCCCACCUUGUAUGAAGAUUUUAGGCAUGUAAGAAACUUGCUGAAUAAAAUUUGCUGAAACAAAAUUCACCAGAUAGCUUCACUUUACUUGUCUAUAUUACGAAAGACUAAAACUAGUUUGUAGAGAAACCAUUUUUAAGACAGUCAGAUCAGCAUGUUUCACAUGUCAGAGAGGACACAAGAAGAAUCAUUAUUCUUGAUUCUAGUCUAGAAAUGGAACUACUCUAAUUUGUAUCAGAUGAGGAUGUCUCCCUCUCGCCACAUGUUCCUUUUGGAUAGAUCUUUGAGUGCUGUCAGAAUUUCAGGCGUGUGCAAUUGGGACUGGUGGUGUUUGUUUGUUUUGUGUAACGUCCCACUGGAUGUCUUCAAAGGAACCCAAGGUCAUUCAAGUCAUAAGAACAUGCUUGAGGAACUUUGUAAGUGCUGUCACUUCUGCUUGUCUGUAGUACUUGUGCUGUGUAAGUGUACUGCUAGUCUGUAGCCUUUUUUACUGAGGGCUGUAUUGUAUUUUGGCCUACCUUAACUUCAAGGAAACACCUGGCAUCUGUUGUUGGGUAGAUAUUGGCACCUUUGUUGGAACAGUACCCAGCAGAACACUAGAGUACUGUUUAUGCUUCACAUGAAUCUGUGGUAGAAGUUCUAUUAUAUUCACCUGAUGUCAUCACCACUUAAUUAUAGAGGCGUCACAAGAAGCAUGAAUAAACCAAAUAGAGAGUUAAGCUUGGUCUAAGCUGGAUAAAUGCAAUUACAUGGUGAUUACAACAGUCAUCCUCACUUCACAGUAAAAAAACAAACAAGAAUAUCCUGUCAUGCUGUUGGAGCCAUAUUCUCUUAAAAGCUCUCAUUUAAUUUCCUUUUUUUUUCUAUCAGAACACUCAAAAUGCAAUAAAUCUUUUGAUAUUAAAGCAUCAGUUGUCCUCUAUGUACCCAGCUGUUGAAGUGGAAUAGUGUAAUAUGCUUGUAAACACUCUGAUCCUUCUGCUUUCUUUGAAUGCAUACUGUAGAAUUCUAAAAUGACCUCAUUGUGCUCUUCAGAAUCUUCAUGAGGGGAAGUGGAGGGGCAGAGGGCAGGUACUGAUCUCUUCACUCUCAUCAGGAAUCAAGGAAACCACGUGAAUCUGAGUCGGAAGAGUUUUAGGCUGUAUCGCAGGAAAAGAUUUUUCCUUCAGAUGGUGGUUGGCCGCUGGAACAGGCUCCCCAGGGAAGUGGUCACAGCACCAAGCUCAAGAAGCAUUUGGACAAUGCUUUCAGGUACAUGGCCUGACUCUUGAGGUGUCCUGUGCAAGGGAGUUGGACUCAGUGUAUCUGAUGGGUCUCUUGUGUAUUCUAUAAUUCUAUUCUAUAAUUCUAUGAUAAAUUUUCAUUGGCAGUUUAACAAUUGUAGGUAUGUCACUGCAAUUGCAGCCUACACAAACUUGUCCUUAGUCACACAUUACAACUUCUAAGAGAGGAGUGGGUUUUCAUAGGAACCCUAGUGCCUUAUUCAUAGAAGUCAGAUGUCUUCUGUGUUGCUUCUGAAGGAAACAGGGCAAACACCACUUAGCCAGAGUUCCUCAAAAUUGACUUUUUGUUUUUAUUCCUGUAGAAGAAAAACAGCUGGAGCAAAGGAGAUUUCAGUCAAGAGGAAGGAUUAUCAUCCUGAAGACUAAGUGACAUUCUGAAUUUUCAUUUACUAUGUGCAUUUCCUUUGAGUGAUAUUUACCAUCUGAUGAAGAUCUAUGGAAUCUAGGUUCCCUCUAUUAGCAGAUUUAAAAAUUCUAAAUUUUCAAAUUGUAAAAGUCACAAACUAUGACCCACUUGUACCCCAUUCAUUUCAUCUGGGAAAAGAGCCAAGUCCUGUUUAGCGAGGGGUGAAAUGUGCUGCAUUAACAUAUGUUCAAAGUGUUUAUGAACUGCACAGCCAAUAUAACCAGCAGAUUUGGUGUUCCCCAAACACUAGGAGAGGGACAAAUUCUCAUUGGAAGAGGAAUAUGCCAGCACUAAGUAUCACCAUGACUUAGCCACUGGAUGCUCAGAUCCCAUAGUUCACUGCCUGUUAAGAUGUGUUUACAAUGUCAGGACCUAAUCAAUUGUUUUUAAUUCCCCAAGCAUUUUCCGCAGUGAGCCUCAUCAGAACAGAAAAUGUGCUGAAAUGGGCCAGCUCUGCGACAAAAUUUAUUCUAUGUUCACACAGCACAGAGGAUAGUGUGGCAAGAGGAGUAAAAGCUUGCAAAACAAGAAUAACUUUAUUGGGGCUCCCAUGCCGUAAGAAAGUGUGGUAUGGGUGCUCCUGCCUCUAACCAUGGCAACAGGUAGUAUUAUACACAGGUGUGUGUGUGAAAUUAUGUUCUGUACCCAUACAGGAAUGCCUGUUACAUCAGUCUGGUAACCAGGCCGCGUUGGCUGAGCUCCCAUCUGCCUCCAGAGUUAACCCACUUUAUUCAUUUAUGAAUGAAAAAAAAGGGUGCAUUCUAGUAUGACGCAGAAAUGUUACAGCAUAUGCUCAAAUAUUAAGCAUGUGUCCAAGAGCUGUUAUAGAUCAACUUUGUUUUCUGAUCCCACACUAGGAUUUUAUUUGCCAAUGUAUAAGCUGUAACUUCAAUGCAUGACAAACACAGAUAAUCAGUUGUUGGCCACAAUCGGCUGCAAAGAUUCUGCUGCAAUGUAGCUGUUUGCUCAGAGCUUUUCCAUGUUCCCCUAUGUGCCCAUGGUAUGGUCUUAUUAGCAUCCUUACUUACUAGAGUACUUGCCUGUACUGCAGGAGGAAGUGUUCCAUAAGAGAUUUUUCUCCUUUCUUCAUGAAAAAAAAUUGUGGACAGUUACUGGAGGAAUCGGGGCUCAAACAUCAUUUACAACGUACGGACUGUCAGGAUGGAUUUAAAGGAGGAAGUUGGGGGGGAAAGAAAAAAAAAGGUAAUUCAUAAUUCUUGCUGAAUAGUAAAGAGAGUGAGGCUGUUCCUUACCAUUUGGGAUUUGGAAAAAAUGCUUCCUAAUAAAAAGUAAUGCAAGGUUUCUGACAUGGAAAAAUCAGACACAGCAGGAAAGCAAAACCAAUCAAAAAAAGUUGGAGGUCUGGGAAAUGAGGCAGCAAGGCUGGUCAUCCAGUUAAAAGAAAAGUUAGCUAGGUUUUAAUUUAUUAAUGGAAUAUAUAGGAAAGCAGUGGGUUGUAGAGUGUGUUCUAGUACAGGAGUAAAAAUGAUUGGCAGAGAACAUAAAAUGGGAACGGCAAGGUAUGACCAAAGAACUAAUUUAAACCUCCAUGUGCUGGAGGGAAGACUCCAAGUGUGGCAGUCAUGAAUAUCUCAUCUAGGCUUGCAGAUCUGUGCCCUGAUGGAAAGCCAGAGCAGCCUUACAUGCAGGUAGGGGCUAGAAGUGAAGAUAAAUGAUAGGAGGAGAAGGAAUGAAUAAUGGUUCUGUUCCAGACCUAAUAUUCAUUUCUCUGCUUUUCCUUCUUUUCAAAUUCUGUUGCUUUUUGUCUUGUUUUAGAUGUUGAACAGCCUGGGGAGAGUGAGGUGCAGAGUUUCUAGUGUAUUCUAAUGGACUCUGUAACGUGUGGCCACUAAUUCUCUGAGUGCUCAGCUUCAUUCCAUACCUGUAUCACUGUAAGCUACCAUGAAAAAAAAAUUGCUCCUUUGCUCCUCUGUUACUUUGUUGUUUAUAGGCUAAAGGAGAUGGGAGUUUCCAGCUCUGCACCGUACUUUCUAGGAUAUCAGCUGAUGUGAUUAUUAAGUAUCAGGAUUUUUGCCUAUUUUCAUGGUCUUCAGCUAUAGAGGAAAUCCACACAAAUAUGUUGGUGGAACUGUUUUCUCAGAGAACAUAUAAAUUUGGGAACAUUGAGCAUGAAGUAUUUACAGGAGUGUAUUGGCUUGGACAAGGUUUUACUGUGUUCCCCUGGUUACUUCACAAGAGCCUCAAACCCACCUUCAGAGUGAUCCAGCUGAUUUCGGAGGAUCCGGAGAUUACAUCACCUCUGCUUUGCCAGCUCUGAUUGUAAUGCAUGUAGUAGCUGGCUAUUGAUGGAUUAAACUGAGCAUCAUGUUGGUUGUGGCAAAGGGCCAAGGCAUGUGAUGCCACAGCAGCACAAAGUGGUAUGAUGAAAAAGUCUCAGGGAAGUUUGUGAAGAAAGGAAACCUGUCCAGGAGGUAUUUAUUCUCAGCUAACCAUAAGGAAAAAAAUUAUCACUGCUUUUGUAGUCCUUUAUCUUUCACUGUAUUUUAUACU
This is a long non-coding RNA of Catharus ustulatus (Swainson's thrush), 5247 nucleotides long. RefSeq lists it as uncharacterized. The record is from RefSeq and is a predicted model, not a curated record. The transcript has 3 exons. NCBI's taxonomy places the organism in Eukaryota, Metazoa, Chordata, Aves, Passeriformes, Turdidae.